CAUCGUUCAACCCCGUUUGCCUUCAGUCUGACUUAGCUGACUCAAGCCACCACAUCUAGUAACCAAGUCUGCCAGCCUGCUAGCUCCGAGCUUCUAAUCCAUUCUUUAGCUAUCUACAUGUAGAUAUUUUCAUCCCGUCUGUAUGUAGUCGGAGCUUGUUGUCCAACAGGUCUCCCAACUAAUUUUAUUUUCCCUUACAAGGGAUCGAAUCCUAUUGUCGGACAACUGUUGCGAAGGAAUUUUUUUUUUUUUUUAAUUUUCGUUAACACAGGAGAGAUGUACCGAGGACUUACUUUAUUCACAGAUCGUCUGUCUUGGAUUGGAUUUACGAAACCCAGUUAAACCGUGUCGGAUUUCGGACUAUUAUACAAUCUUGUUUCAUCACCGAACCAUUCGGCUAUUUCUUUCAUAUUGGGACUUCGGAAAAAAUACCUAAAACCACUCACAAAAUAUAAAACAUUAAUUUUAUCUCAUACGGGAAAGGAGUUGAUAAAGUGUCAUGACGGAGGUAGCGCAGAUCCACACGGGGGUCCAUUGGGAACCUGGGCAGGCCCCCCAAUUGGUGGAAGAAGGUUUCGAUAGCGGAAGUAAUUCUUCCAAGCUGUUUGAGCGAUCGAGGAUCAAAGCUCUAGCAGAUGAGAGAGAGGCAGUGCAAAAAAAGACCUUUACAAAAUGGGUUAAUUCACACCUUGCCCGGGUUGGCUGUCGCAUAAGUGACUUGUAUUUGGAUUUACGAGAUGGGAAGAUGUUGAUAAAAUUGCUAGAAGUCCUAUCUGGUGAGCGCCUGCCUCGGCCAACAAAAGGGAAAAUGAGGAUUCAUUGCCUGGAAAAUGUAGAUAAAGCAUUGACAUUCCUGCAUGAACAAAAAGUCCAUCUUGAAAACAUGGGUGCUCAUGACAUAGUUGAUGGCAGUGCUAGACUUACUCUUGGUCUUAUAUGGACCAUUAUUCUUCGCUUCCAGAUCCAAGAUAUCAUUGAAGAGACAGAAAAUAGUGAAACCAAAUCUGCUAAAGACGCACUCUUGCUUUGGUGCCAGAUGAAAACUGCUGGCUACCCUAAUGUCAAUGUCAGAAAUUUCACUACCAGCUGGAGAGAUGGUUUAGCUUUUAAUGCCAUCAUUCACAAACACAGAUCUGACCUUAUCCAAUAUGACAGACUUCAGAAAUCUAAUGCCAUGCAUAAUCUCAACAAUGCGUUUACUGUCGCUGAAGAAAAGCUUGGCAUCACUAAGCUUUUGGAUCCUGAAGAUGUCAAUGUUGAGAUUCCUGAUGAGAAGUCCAUCAUUACAUACGUAGUCACCUACUACCAUUACUUCUCGAAAAUGAAGGCUGAAUCUGUUCAAGGCAAGAGAAUUGGCAGAGUCAUUGACAAUGCCAUUGAUACAGAAAAAAUGAUUGAAGAAUAUGAAACCUUAACAUCUGACCUCUUGGAAUGGAUUGAACAGACAAUAGUUAUUUUGAAUGACCGAAAAUUCGCCAACUCUUUAACUGGCGUGCAGGAGCAAUUGACAGGCUUUAACACCUACAGAACUGUCGAAAAACCACCAAAAUUUGUGGAGAAAGGAAACCUUGAGGUCCUCCUAUUCACACUCCAAAGUAAGAUGAGGGCAAACAACCAAAGACCCUAUUUACCCAGAGAAGGAAAACUGAUAUCUGACAUCAACAAAGCUUGGGACAAACUUGAGAAAGCUGAACAUGAACGAGAACUGGCUCUGCGUGAAGAACUGAUCCGACAAGAAAAACUUGAGCAAUUGGCUGCCCGAUUCAAUCGUAAGGCUGGCAUGCGAGAAGUUUGGCUCAGUGAGAACCAACGGUUGGUAUCUCAGGACAAUUUCGGCCAUGACCUUGCUGCUGUCGAGGCUGCUACCAAGAAACAUGAAGCAAUUGAGACUGACAUUAACGCAUAUGAAGAACGCGUCCAAGCAGUUAUUGCUGUGUCAAAUGAAUUGCAACAGGAAAAUUACCAUGACAUCAAUAGAAUUGCGGCAAGAAAAGACAAUGUUCUGAGUCUGUGGAACUAUCUUUUGGAAUUACUACGAGCACGUCGUAUGAGACUUGAACUUUCUCUGAACUUACAGAAGAUCUUCCAAGAGAUGCUUUACAUUCUUGAUUGGAUGGAAGAAAUUAAGGCCCGACUUAUGUCUUCAGACUAUGGUAAACAUCUGAUGGGAGUCGAAGACUUGUUGCAAAAGCACAGUUUGUUGGAGGCUGACAUUAAUGUAGUCGGAGACAGAGUCAAGACUGUAAAUUCCCAGGCUCAGAGAUUUGCUGAAGGUGACUUCGUAGAUGUUGGAGCGGAGUACAGGCCCUGCAAACCAGAAGUUAUUGUGGAAAGAAUGUCAACACUUGAGACAGCUUUCACUGAACUUAAACAACUAUCAGCUGAACGCAGGGCUCGCCUUGAAGAGUCACGUAAAUUAUGGCAGUUCUACUGGGAUAUGGCAGACGAGGAAGGUUGGGUGAAAGAGAAAGAGCAGUUGAUGUCAUCUCCUGAUCUGGGACAUGAUUUAACUAGUGUACACCUCCUACUGAACAAACAUAAAGCACUGGAAGAUGAAAUGACAGCCAGACACUCACACUUGCAGUCAGUCAUCCAAGUUGGCAAUGAUCUCAUUUCUGCCGGAAAUUUCGGUGCAGACAAGAUCCAAGAACGCAUAGAUGAGAUUAACCAGCAGUGGGAGAGUUUGAUUGACCUGGCAGCAUAUCGCAAACGCAGACUCAAUGAGGCUGUUGAUUACUAUCAGUUCUUUGCUGAUGCUGAUGACAUUGACAUCUGGAUGUUGGAUACUUUCCGUAUCGUGUCCAGUGAAGAUGUCGGACGUGAUGAGGCCAGCGUACAAUCUCUGCUUAAGAAACACAAGGAUGUUACAGAUGAGCUCAAAAACUACCAGAGUGUCAUUGAAAGUCUCCAUGAGCAAGCAACUAACCUUGGAGAACAAGACCGAGAGUCUGAUGACGUACAGAGUCGAUUAGGUAGCAUUGAUCGCCGUUACCAAGAACUAUUGGAGCUUGCCAAACUUCGCAAGCAACGGUUGCUUGAUGCCCUCUCUCUCUAUAAACUUUUCAAUGAAGCAGAUGGUGUGCAGACUUGGAUUGAUGAGAAGGAGAAAUUCCUUGCAACAAUUGUUAUUACGGAUGAUAUCGAAGAACUUGCUAUUGUUAAACAUCGCUUUGAAAGUUUCGAACAUGAAAUGAACUCUACGGCAUCCAAGGUUGCAGUGGUGAACCAGCUGGCUCGGCAGUUGCUCCAAGUUGAACAUCCUAAUGCUGCUGAUGUCAUUGCUCGACAGAAUCAGCUGAACCAAGAAUGGAACACCUUGAGGUCGCUGGUUGACCAGAAGAGGGAAGAAAUACAUUUAGCUCAUGGGCUGCAGAACUUCCACAUUGAAUGCAAUGAGACGAUUGGCUGGAUAAACGAAAAGGUGAAAAUUAUCGAAUCAACUGAAGAACUUGGCAAUGAUUUAGCUGGUGUUAUGACACUACAGAGACGGCUCAGUGGUAUGGAACGAGACCUUGCUGCCAUACAAGCCAAGGUUGAAUCGUUGCAAGUGGAAGCAGAUAGACUACAAGAAACCAAACCUGAAGAAGCCCAGGCUAUUCGUGAAAAGAUCAAUGACAUCAACAAUGUAUGGAUGGAUCUCAAAGAAAUGCUCAAAGAUAGGGAUGAAAAACUUGGUGAGGCCGGCGAAUUGCAACGCUUCCUUGGUAACCUCGACCAUUUCCAGCAAUGGUUAUCUCGUACUCAGACAACUGUGGCAUCAGAAGACAUUCCCAACAAUCUGGCUGAUGCUGAGAAAUUAUUAAAUCAACACCAACAGCUUAAAGAUGAAAUUGAUGCUUAUGCCCCAGAAUAUGCUAAGAUGAAAGAGUUUGGUGAUAAAGUCACUGAGGGCCAGGAUGAUCCCCAGUAUAUGUUUCUGCGACAGCGUCUUCAAGCACUUGAUGGCGGCUGGCAGGAAUUGUUACAGAUGUGGGAGAAUAGACAGCAGCUUCUUUCUCAGAGUCUCAACUUGCAAAUGUUCCUCAGGGAUGCCAAACAAGCUGAGGUACUCCUCAACCAACAAGAGAACUUCCUAUCAAAAGAAGAAGUACCUAGUGCCAUUGGACUUGACAAGCAGAACUCGUUGGAAGCUGCUGAAAAUAUCAUUAAAAAACAUGAAGCAUUUAUCACCACAAUGGAUGCAAAUGAUGAGAAAAUUAACAACGUCUUGCAAUUUGGACAAAGACUCAUCGAAGACAACAACCAUGCUGCUGACAAAAUCAGCAAAAAAGCAGAAAACAUCAACGAAAGGCGUAAUGCAAACAGGCAGCGUGCAUAUGAACAACUGGAACGCCUUAAAGACCAGAGAAUGCUACAACAGUUCUUCCAAGACUGUGAAGAAUUACGAGACUGGCUUCAAGAUAAAAUGUCAGCUGCUCAAGAUGAGACUUAUCGUGAUGCUAAAAACCUGCACAGCAAAUAUAUGCGACAUCAAGCAUUUGAAUCUGAAAUUGCAGCUAAUAAAGAUCGUCUUUUGAAACUUCGUGAGGCUGGUGAAGGUUUGUUGAAAGAUAAACCCGAAGCUGCUGAGCAGGUUGGUCCCGUUCUUGAGGGUCUCAGCAAUCAAUGGGAAGAGCUCGAGAACACCACGAAGGACAAGGGUGAGCGGUUGUUUGAUGCCAAUCGCUCGGUCCUCUAUGAACAGAGCUGUGAUGACAUUGAUGGUUGGAUUCAACAGCUGGAAUCCCAAGUUGUUACUGAAGAAUUUGGUAGAGAUUUAACCACUGUCAAUAUUCAAAUGCAGAGGCAAAAUCAAUUGGAAAGCCAGAUGAAGUGUAAAGAGAACCAAGUGCAAGAGCUUGAUAAACAAGCUAAUUACCUGAAAACUAUGGAUCCUAAUAAGGAGGCUGAAAUAGAAGCUCGCAAAGUGGCGGUUGCUGAGCGGUUCAUGAAAAUUCAGGCGCCUUUGUUAGUACGACGAUCUCAACUUGAGAGAGUCAAACGAAUUCAUCAGUUUCAGCGUGAUAUUGAAGAUGAAAAAAUGUGGGUUGAAGAAAAGAUGCCCCUGGCAACCUCUGGCAACUAUGGCAACAGCCUUCUUAGUGUUCAGUUACUAAUGAAGAAAACACACUCAUUGCAAACAGAAAUUGAAAACCACGAACCCCGUAUUGAUUCUGUUAUUGCUGUUGGCCAAGAAUUGGUUAAUGAACAACAUCCACAAGCUGACGAAUUCCAACAACACAUUGAUGACCUUAGCACUAAGUGGAAAACUCUAAAGGAUGCUGUGGACGCAAGGAAAGCUCGCCUACAGCUCUCAGAUAUUGCCCAACAGUACUAUCAAGAUACUUCUGAGGCAGAAUCUUGGAUGAGUGAACAAGAACUUUACAUGAUGGGUGAGGAACGGGCCAAAGAUGAAAUUGGUGCACAGAAUAUGCUUAAGAAACACCAGAAUCUCGAAUCCGCUGUUGAGGACUAUGCAGAUGUUGUCCGCCAGUUGGGUGAGAGAAGCAGAAAUUUGAUUGAACAAGAACACCCAGAAAGUGAACAAAUUGCUGUUCGCCAAGCACAAGUGGACAAGCUCUAUGCUGGUCUGAAAGAUUUGGCCCAAGAACGUCGUGGCAAGCUUGAAGAGGUGCUGAAAUUAUAUAUGCUAAGUAGAGAAAUUGAAGACUUAUUACAAUGGAUUGCAGAAAGAGAAGUUGUAGCAAAAUCUCAAGAACUUGGUCAAGAAUACGAGCAUGUAACUACUCUUAAAGAAAGAUUUAAAGAAUUUGCUAGAGACACUGAAAACUUUGGACAAGAUCGUGUGGCCUCAGCAAAUGAAAUCUGUGAUAGUUUGAUUGUAGCUGAGCACUCUGAUGCUCCAAUUAUUGCUCAAUGGAAAGAUAAUUUGAACGAAGCCUGGACCGAUUUGCUAGAGUUAAUAGACACCCGCACACAGAUGUUGCAAGCUUCAUGGGAAUUAUGGAAGUUUAACCACGAUUGCAAAGAAACUCUGGAAAGAAUCCAAGAAAAGAAGAAUUACAUACCUGAAGAAGUUGGAAGAGAUGCUCAAAGUGUUGCUGUUCUUCAAAGAAAGAAUGCUAACUUUGAACACGAUUUAGUUACUCUUGGAAAUCAAGUUCAUUUAAUUCAAGAGGAAUCAGCUUGCCUUCAAAUUGGAUAUGCCGGAGAGAAGGCGCGAGAGAUUCAGAAUUGGGAAUCUGAUGUGGUUAAUGCCUGGCGUAAUUUGCAAUUAAUGGUUGAGAGCCGACGAAUGAGACUUGCUGAUGCCAGUGACCUUUAUAGAUUCUUUAAUAUGGUCAGAGACCUGAUGUUAUGGAUUGAUGACAUCAGGCGGCAAAUGAGCACUCAAGAAAAACCAAGAGAUGUGUCGGGUGUAGAGUUGUUAAUGAACAACCAUCAAAGUUUGAAGGCUGAAAUCGAUGCUAGAGAAGAAAACUUUGCCAUUUGUAUAAACUUAGGAAGAGAUCUUAUAACUCGCAAACAUUACCGAUCCAGUGAAGUGAGAGAAAAAUUAAUACAGUUAACAUCUCAAAGGCAUUCCAUGAAUGAGCAAUGGGAUGAGAGAUGGGAAUACCUGCAGCUCAUUUUGGAAGUCUAUCAGUUUGCUCGUGAUGCUGCUGUUGCUGAAUCUUGGCUUAUUGCUCAAGAGCCAUACCUUCAAAACCAAGAUCUUGGUGACACACUUGAUGCAGUUGAAAAUCUUAUUAAGAAACACGAGGCCUUUGAAAAAUCUGCAGCAACUCAAGAAGAACGAUUUGCUGCCCUCGAAAAACUUACAACAUUUGAACUUAAAGAAAUUCAAAGAAGGCAAGAAGAAGAAUAUCGACAACAACAUCCUGAAGAAGUAGAAAAAUCUAAAGAAGAGAAGAGACGAAAAUAUAUUGCAGAAUUUGUACCUCCAGAAGAGCCACCCGAGCCAGAACCAGAAGAAGUUGUAUCAACUGAACCAGAAGAUGGUGAGGCAACAUCAGACGAUCAAGGACCAGCUGCUAUGACCAAUGGAGAGAAAGAAGUAACUGAUGAAUCAGGUCAAACUGUGACCCACACCACACCACCAGCUAAAGACACACUGAGACCAGUAGCCAAAGGCGCUGUCUUAAACGAAUCGUCAUCAAACCAAGCUACAGAUGAUACUACAGUCCACUCAAAGUCCAGGUCACUCCCUCAAAGGGCCGACUCUGAGAAUAAUAAGGAGAAGAAACGAUCACGUUCCAAAUCACCAUUUGGAAGAUUCUUUGCUCGUAAACGUGAAGAUGAAGGUCCGUCAUCACCUAGUCGUUCAGAACAUCAAUUAGCUGGAGCCCCAGAAGCAGAACAUCUUGAAGGAGCAUUAAUCAGAAAACACGAGUGGGAAACACAAACCAAAAAAGCUUCCAACCGAUCUUGGGAGAAAGCUUACAUCAUACUUCAAGCAAAUGAACUUUCCUGCUAUAAAGACUUCAAACAUGCAAAGACUGAUCCUAAUACACGCCUUCAUCAUGAAACUGCCAUCAAUUUGAGUGGAGCUACCUGUGAUCGAGCUCACGAUUACACCAAACGUCCUCAUGUGUUCCGUCUAAAAUUGGCCGGUGGUGCUGAAUACCUAUUCCAAUGUAAAGAUGAUGCUGAAAUGGAGAAUUGGAUCACAAAAGUAAGUGCAGCAACUGGAGAAGCCAGCAGUAGCGGUCCCACUAGAUCCCAAACACUCCCUGCAAAACCAGACGGUGAACCAAAACGAGAUGAACACAAGCGAAGGAGUUUUUUCACAUUGAAAAAGAAAUAAAUAUCCACAAAAAGAUAAAUUCAUUGCAGUCCUUUCACACAUGCUUUGGGUGGAAUAUCUGAAGAGGCUACGCUGUUGCUGCUUUUGCUGCCAGAACAACAAUCUUUGAUGCAGCAUAGUUUUUCAGCAGCAGCAACAAUUUUGUCCCAAAACCAAACAAAAAACAGCAAAAAAAAAAAAAAAAAAAUCUAUAUAUAUAUAAAUAUAUAAACUGUGGCAUUCCAUCUAUGCAAAACUGGACUCAAACCAACAACCAACUACAGUGGAUUGAACAACAACAAAACUAUGAACUUCUGAAAUAUUAAAGUAACCAUAUUAAAAAACAUUACAGAUAUUUUGCCUUUCAAAUUAAAGCCUCUUCUAUAAAUUGAAUGACUGUACAGAGAAAUUGUGUGUGUGUGAGUGAGCGUGCGCCUGUAUGAGGAAAUAAAGAAAAAUUCCAAUAAAUUAGCCUGAGAUGUAUAAUGCGCCUAAAAGAAUUUCACCCAUUUACUUAGACUAAUUAAUUCUGCCUAAUAACUUGGAGGUAUAACUGACUUAUCUGUUAAACUAUGAAGAAUGAGUCUAAUGUAAGAAAGUUGUAUCCAAGACAAGCUGAAUGUAUAUUUGCAUCACAGUGUGUCAUCUCUCUCCCCCCCCCCAAAAGAACACACUGACGUCUGUAUGUUUAUAUGUGGCAUGUGUGUAUGUCAAGAAGAUAUUGUCCUGAUGCUUUUUGCCUAAAUUGCUGGCUUACUCCUUUUGCUGGUUGAUUCAUGUGCAGCUGCCAAGUGCUUGCAACCUGUAACAGACAAGAGAAAAUAAAAACAACCAAAUAACAUUUGGUUUAAUCUUACAUAUAGUAUCAAUUUACCUGUUUGUGUUUGCUUUUGACGACGACAAUUGUUAUAGGGAUUUCCAAUAUAUUUAUAGUACAAUGGACUUAGCUGGAAAAAAAACAAAUUGGACACAUAUUUCACAUUAGGCAGCUUCUUAAUAUAUUUUCUUCACUUUUUAGAAAGAGGUUAGAAAGAAAAUUUCCCUUCCCUUUUCCCGAAAUUGCAAAUAUUUUAUUUUUAUUAUACGUUAAAUUUUAAAAAAACGGAAACAAAUUCCUGUUUUGCUUUUAAAAAGAAAUUUUUUUGAUAUCAAUAACCGUUUCAUUACUUGUCGACAUAUUUAAAAAAACUUUCCACAACACUUUAAGAAUUUAACAACUGUUCAAUUUAAAUUAAGGGAAAUGAAAAAAUAUAAAAAUUAUGUGGUGUUGUCAAAAUUCUUUGGAGUGCAUUUCUAUUCUUUGCUCUCAUAACAAAACAGCUGUUUAAUAAUCUGGACGGGAAUUUUCUUGUACCUCUUUCCAUUUCUCCAUUAACUCUAAGCAAUGAAGAAAAUAUAUGUUGAUCUGCAGCUUAAAUGUGGUCACUUUAGCUAAAAAACUGACACAGAUAUUUGUAUAAGUUAUUAUUAUUAUUGUCCAUAAUUGUGAUGUAAAUUAUUCUUAAACCCAAACUUCUUCCUCCAGACGUAGCCAGUUU
Molecule: RNA transcript, 9264 nt
Organism: Octopus sinensis (East Asian common octopus)
Lineage: Eukaryota; Metazoa; Mollusca; Cephalopoda; Octopoda; Octopodidae
Gene name: spectrin beta chain
Exons: 50
Source: RefSeq, a predicted model, not a curated record